Long non-coding RNA from Pantherophis guttatus, 310 nucleotides. RefSeq lists it as uncharacterized. The record is from RefSeq and is a predicted model, not a curated record. Lineage: Eukaryota; Metazoa; Chordata; Lepidosauria; Squamata; Colubridae.
GUGAUCAAAAUUUGGACACUUGGCAACUGAUCAGAGUAUUUGGAGAAAAAUCGGGAUAUCCAUGAAGACUCUUUCAUGAUCAUCUGGCCACUGGUCACUUCUGGAGAUAAUCAAUAAGAGUCCUUAGAGAAGGCGGCCCGCAGGCUGGAUGCAUCACGCGCAGGCUACGUCCACCCCGGCUCCGCAAAGGCAAAAAAGUCACCAUUCAUCUCGUGAUGUGAUUGAGUUUGAUACCCGUGCCUUAGAGGGUUUUAGGACCAUUUUAAGAAAUAUUGCUAUAGAUAAUCAUUAUACUGUAUUCACUUUUUGA